Molecule: ribosomal RNA, 1398 nt
Filed under: Triticum aestivum (bread wheat)
Lineage: Eukaryota; Viridiplantae; Streptophyta; Magnoliopsida; Poales; Poaceae
Description: partial small subunit ribosomal RNA
Source: RNAcentral
AUGCCGCAGAAGAGGCUCCGCCGCCGCCGCAGGAGGUCUCCUCGCCGGCGCCGUGGUGAAGAAGGCGCAUCUUUAUCUGCCCCCCUUGUCGAAUCGGAUAGCAGCAGCAGCACGACUUUCUGCACACGGGCGCCCGAACCCCUCGACGAGCAGCCGGACGCCCGGCCGGCUCGCGAGUACGAGUCGAGGUACCAUGAGAUCCUCACCUCGCGCCUCGCCGAAUUGCAGUUACCAGCCUGCCCGGCCCUGGACGACGGCGACAGCCCAGAUCUUCCUUCGGAUGAAAUUGUGGAAGCCCUGACCCGUACUAGUUUCUAUGAUGAUGAGCUGCGGGCUGCUAUGGUAGAAUACCAAAUCCAGAAAUUCCUGGUCGAACCCCACGGACCAGAUGUCCAGGCAGUAGAUGGAGAUUCUGGAGAGGACUCCGGCGUUGGCAUCACCGAUGAGCAAUUCGUCAAAUACUCCGAAGAGCUGAAGGCUCGCAGCAGUGCUGAAAUUGACGCUGACACUAGACUGAAUCAAGAGCAGUUCAACAGACUCCAUGUCAAGUUAAUUCGUUAUCGCAUCAAAGCUUGCCUGCUGUUGAAACGAAAGCAUAUCGACGAGCUAGACGACACUUCAUUGGAACGCAAGUACCCUAUUGAGCUUGCCUUGGGGGAUAAAGACUUAUCCCCUUACCUGGAAGAUGGUGCCUUUGGCUGGUAUUUCGACUCCGACCUCUGCUUACUUGCAUCCUUGAGCGAUUACCAGCGGCUUGUCCUUCCUAACUGUACUUGGAGUGAGUAUGAAAGCUUGAGUCAAUACAUAGCGUUUUAUAACACCCCUGAAGUUGAUAGAGAUUAUGUCCUAUACUGGGAAAACAUGGUCAAGGAAAUUAAGUGGCUUGAAAAUCAUAUUCUUAAAGAAGAUACUCCGGAGUGGGAUCAAAUCUGUCACAAAGGUUUAUACCAAGCAAUUAGGAUUGCUGCUGAGCUCCCCAACAUUAAUUUCGGUCUAGCAUAUCAUGGUUUCAUGGAGUAUAUAUGGAGAACUCGCUUUUAUGUCGUGUUUGUGAAAGGUCUUGACCGUGCCUACUUUGAGAUUUGGAAGCGGGUUACUGGGCAGCAGAUGUGUUUCAGAGAUGCUCUGCAGGAAGUUUGCAAUGACAAUUUGGUACCAUCGCGCCAACACACUUUGAAGGCCGAGCUGCAGCGACCUGGAGGGUUCUUGCAAGUGGAGCGACAAGUCCGCCGGUGCACAGAGGGCAUUAGUAAGGAAAUUCCGGAUUGGAUAGCCCAAGAGCGGGUUUCUCAGGAAGUUAGAUUCAAGCGCGCGUUGCCAAAGACAUAUGCGCAGUAUGCGAGGAAGAAGCUCAAGGUUGCAGAAGCCAUAGGAUUGAUUCCCAAGGUCAGAGCAUAA